AGAGAUGUGUGAUGACGCAUAUCAAUAAGCGGAGGAAAAGAAACUAACAAGGAUUCCCUUAGUAACGGCGAGUGAAGCGGGAAGAGCUCAAAUUUGAAAUCUUCAAGGUUCUACCUUGACGAAUUGUAGUUUAAAGAAGUGUUUUCUGUUAGUGGGGUGGCAAAAGUUCUUUGGAAUAGGACAUCAUAGAGGGUGAGAAUCCCGUAUUUGGUCAUUCCUCCUAGCGUUGUGAUACACUUUCAACGAGUCGGAUUGUUUGGGAAUGCAGUCCAAAAUGGGUGGUAAAUUUCAUCUAAAGCUAAAUAUUGGCGAGAGACCGAUAGCGAACAAGUACCGUGAGGGAAAGAUGAAAAGAACUUUGAAAAGAGAGUUAAACAGUACGUGAAAUUGUCAAAAGGGAAGCGUUUGACACCAGUGUUGUUUUUCCGAAAAUCAAUUACGAAUGUUUUAUUUUUGAGGAGUUAUGACUUCAUCGGCUUGCUUCUUUCUUUAUCGAAACUUUCUUAAUGCACUUUUCGGUUAACAAGUCAACAUCAAUUUCUUUUGUUGUAAAAGGGUACUGAGGAAGGUGGCUUUCUUUUCGGAGAAAGUGUUUAUAGCCUUGUACCUCUGCAAUCGGAGAGAUUGAGGUCUGCAGCGUAGAUCCUUCGGGGUUAGAUACAUUUGUGCUAAGUUAUAGCUUUGUCAUAGACAACUUGUUGACUAUGUUAAGUCAUUGUAGCUUACUCGCUUAUGCUAUUUUACCUACGCUUAGGAUGUUGAAGAUGUAGCACAUCAU
RNAcentral lists this ribosomal RNA (778 nucleotides) under uncultured Neocallimastigales. RNAcentral describes it as "partial large subunit ribosomal RNA". It matches the Rfam family "Eukaryotic large subunit ribosomal RNA", at positions 23 to 639 of the family's 3401-position model. Lineage: Eukaryota; Fungi; Neocallimastigomycota; Neocallimastigomycetes; Neocallimastigales. The record is from RNAcentral.